GACGAACGCUGGCGGCGUGCUUAACACAUGCAAGUCGAACGGUGAAGGGGCCUGCUUUUGUGGGUCCUGGAUGAGUGGCGAACGGGUGAGUAACACGUGAGUAACCUGCCCCCUUCUUCUGGAUAACCGCAUGAAAGUGUGGCUAAUACGGGAUAUUCUGUGCCUGCUGCAUGGUGGGUGUGGGAAAGAUUGCGCCCUUUUUGGGUGUUUUUGGUGGGGGAUGGGCUCGCGGCCUAUCAGCUUGUUGGUGGGGUGAUGGCCUACCAAGGCGGUGACGGGUAGCCGGCCUGAGAGGGUGGACGGUCACACUGGGACUGAGACACGGCCCAGACUCCUACGGGAGGCAGCAGUGGGGAAUAUUGCACAAUGGGCGCAAGCCUGAUGCAGCGACGCCGCGUGAGGGAUGGAGGCCUUCGGGUUGUGAACCUCUUUCGCCAGUGAAGCAGGCCUGCUCCUUGG
This 459-nucleotide ribosomal RNA is filed under the name Actinomyces sp. oral taxon 171. RNAcentral describes it as "bacterial SSU rRNA". It matches the Rfam family "Bacterial small subunit ribosomal RNA", at positions 28 to 463 of the family's 1533-position model. Lineage: Bacteria; Bacillati; Actinomycetota; Actinomycetes; Actinomycetales; Actinomycetaceae. The record is from RNAcentral.